Molecule: ribosomal RNA, 109 nt
Filed under: Streptomyces sp. SID10692
Lineage: Bacteria; Bacillati; Actinomycetota; Actinomycetes; Kitasatosporales; Streptomycetaceae
Description: partial 23S ribosomal RNA
Rfam family: Bacterial large subunit ribosomal RNA
Source: RNAcentral
UGAGGGGUUAAGGCUCCCAGUAGACGACUGGGUUGAUAGGCCAGAUGUGGAAGCCCGGUAACGGGUGGAGCUGACUGGUACUAAUAGGCCGAGGGCUUGUCCUCAGUUG